UACGGGGGGGGCAAGCGUUGUUGCGGAAUUACUGGGCGUAAAGUGUGCGCAGGCGGCCGCGCAAGUCGGGUGUGAAAGCCCCGGGCUCAACCUGGGAAAUUGCAUUCGAGACUGAAUAGCUAGGGUACGGUAGAGGGAAGCGGAAUUUCCGGUGUAGCGGUGAAAUGCGUAGAUAUCGGGAGGAACACCAGUGGCGAAGGGCGACUACCUGGCCUGUUCUUGACGCUGAGGCGCGAAAGCUAGGGGAGCAAACGGG
Molecule: ribosomal RNA, 256 nt
Filed under: uncultured bacterium
Lineage: Bacteria
Description: partial 16S ribosomal RNA
Rfam family: Bacterial small subunit ribosomal RNA
Source: RNAcentral